ACCAGACUCCUACGGGAGGCAGCAGUGAGGAAUAUUGGUCAAUGGCCGAGAGGCUGAACCAGCCAAGCCGCGUGAAGGACGAAGGUGCCAAGCAUUGUAAACUUCUUUUGUCAAGGGACAAAGUCAGGCUCGAGAGCCUGACCGAGGGUACUUGAAGAAAAAGCAUCGGCUAACUCCGUGCCAGCAGCCGCGGUAAUACGGAGGAUGCGAGCGUUAUCCGGAUUUAUUGGGUUUAAAGGGUGCGUAGGCGGCUUGUUAAGGCGGCGUUAAAGGCCCGGGGCUCACCCCCGGCGAGCCGUUGAAACUGGCUGUCUUGAGAUGUCGAGAGGUAUGCGGAAUGCGCAGUGUAGCGGUGAAAUGCUUAGAUAUUGCGCAGAACUCCGAUUGCGAAGGCAGCAUACCGGCGGCGAUCUGACGCUGAGGCACGAAAGCGUGGGUAUCGAACAGGAUUAGAUACCCUGGUACGC
RNAcentral lists this ribosomal RNA (467 nucleotides) under uncultured bacterium. RNAcentral's name for it is "bacterial SSU rRNA". It matches the Rfam family "Bacterial small subunit ribosomal RNA", at positions 330 to 795 of the family's 1533-position model. The record is from RNAcentral.